UGUUAUCCCUAUAAUCGAUAUGGUCGUACACAGUGUAGAUAUGCGUAUCCGCUCCACCGACUUCAGUUCGGAAUCGACCCUUACCAAGGACACGGUGCCCGUGAAUGUCGAUGCGAUAUGCUUCUGGAUGGU
RNAcentral lists this ribosomal RNA (132 nucleotides) under uncultured eukaryote. RNAcentral describes it as "partial small subunit ribosomal RNA". The record is from RNAcentral.